GCACUGUUCUCUGACUUAGCGUGCCUUUCUCGCGAUUCCCUUCUCGUUUAUCUCAUCGAUCCAUUCCCUUCGCUCACUUGCAUCAGAGUCUACAUUUAGCACUGGAGGAUGAGUUCUAGAUUCAUUUAGGAGCUCUUUAACUCCUAAAGCUGUGCAAUCUCUAAUUUGUGCUCAAGACUGGCUUAGACGCUCAAUUCAAUAUGUUGUAGAAGAAGGUAAUGAUGAUAUUCAAAAGAUAGAACUUGAUUUGUAAAAAUUGCAUUGGAGGCAACUGUUGAUAUAUUGUAGAUGCUAGGAAAAAAUACUUGAUUGUUGGUGACUUGGUGUUGGUGGCAAGUUGCAUGCAAGGAAUUGAGCACAAGGAUUAGCUGGAAUUAGUUGUAAUUUUAAAUUUCACAUGUUAUGCUAUUAGUAUUUGGUUGGUUUGUUUGGAUUUUAACUAUAUUUGGAUUUUUUUGGCUAUUGGUUUGUAUGUUCUUAUAGAUUGAUGCUUGAAAGAGGUUGAUUAUUAUUUAUUCUAUUAUUAUGUAUUUAUGUUUU
Molecule: long non-coding RNA, 540 nt
Organism: Neltuma alba
Lineage: Eukaryota; Viridiplantae; Streptophyta; Magnoliopsida; Fabales; Fabaceae
Exons: 4
Source: RefSeq, a predicted model, not a curated record